RNAcentral lists this ribosomal RNA (497 nucleotides) under uncultured bacterium. RNAcentral's name for it is "partial 16S ribosomal RNA". It matches the Rfam family "Bacterial small subunit ribosomal RNA", at positions 28 to 507 of the family's 1533-position model. The record is from RNAcentral.
GAUGAACGCUGGCGGCGUGCCUAAUACAUGCAAGUCGAGCGAACGGACGAGAAGCUUGCUUCUCUGAUGUUAGCGGCGGACGGGUGAGUAACACGUGGAUAACCUACCUAUAAGACUGGGAUAACUUCGGGAAACCGGAGCUAAUACCGGAUAAUAUUUUGAACCGCAUGGUUCAAAGGCGAAAGACGGUCUUGCUGUCACUUAUAGAUGGAUCCGCGCUGCAUUAGCUAGUUGGUAAGGUAACGGCUUACCAAGGCAACGAUGCAUAGCCGACCUGAGAGGGUGAUCGGCCACACUGGAACUGAGACACGGUCCAGACUCCUACGGGAGGCAGCAGUAGGGAAUCUUCCGCAAUGGGCGAAAGCCUGACGGAGCAACGCCGCGUGAGUGAUGAAGGUCUUCGGAUCGUAAAACUCUGUUAUUAGGGAAGAACAUAUGUGUAAGUAACUGUGCACAUCUUGACGGUACCUAAUCAGAAAGCCACGGCUAACUACGUG